ACCCUAAGACUAAGUGGGAGGCUGGUAGCGGCGUAGCGCCCUUUCUUCCCAAGCCAUAAGCCUCAGUGCUUCACUGCAAGCUCCAACUCUCCUUUCUCGCUCCUCCAUUGCCGAUUUGUCGUCACUCUUCUUCCUCCUUUGUGUCCUCCUCGCAACGCCGCUGAUUCGUGACCUUCUCUCCUCUCUACGCUGUUGCUCUGUGCUCUUCUUGAUUGGUGGAAGGUAAAUGGAGUUAGAUUUCCAACUCUUCAAAAAAUUGCAAGAGACAUAUUUGCCAUUCCUGUGUCUACUGUUGCUUCUGAGUCUUCUUUUAGCACAAGUGGCCGUAUAAUUGCUACUCAUCGUGGUAGUCUUCGUGAAGAUACGGUAGAAGCUCUUAUGUGCAAUUAAAAUUGGUUGUGGGCAGAAUAUUAUAAAAGAGGUGAAAAACCUGAUUAUCAAACUGCUAAUGAAGAUGAUGAUGCAUUUUUUGAGCUGACGGAAGAAUAAUGUUGCAAGAACUUGGAAUUAAAAGAAAUGUUUAAAGACAUUUAUCUUUGUUUAUGUUAUUUUAAUUUUAUUAAGAACUUGAUAAUUAUGCUAUUUGUAAUUUUAUGUUAGAUUUGUUUAGAAUUUUAUUGUUUUUAAAUUUAAUUUAAACUUAGUUUUUUAUUUUAUUAAUAUAACAAUAUGUAUGUUUGUAAUUUUAUGUUGAAUUUUUUAAAGAUUUUAUUGUCUUUUAUUUUAAUU
Arachis ipaensis is the source of this 729-nucleotide non-coding RNA. The record is from RefSeq and is a predicted model, not a curated record. NCBI's taxonomy places the organism in Eukaryota, Viridiplantae, Streptophyta, Magnoliopsida, Fabales, Fabaceae.